AGUGAACGCUGGCGGUAGGCCUAACACAUGCAAGUCGAACGGCAGCACAGUAAGAGCUUGCUCUUACGGGUGGCGAGUGGCGGACGGGUGAGGAAUACAUCGGAAUCUACUUUUUCGUGGGGGAUAACGUAGGGAAACUUACGCUAAUACCGCAUACGACCUACGGGUGAAAGCAGGGGAUCUUCGGACCUUGCGCGAUUGAAUGAGCCGAUGUCGGAUUAGCUAGUUGGCGGGGUAAAGGCCCACCAAGGCGACGAUCCGUAGCUGGUCUGAGAGGAUGAUCAGCCACACUGGAACUGAGACACGGUCCAGACUCCUACGGGAGGCAGCAGUGGGGAAUAUUGGACAAUGGGCGCAAGCCUGAGCCAGCCAUACCGCGUGGGUGAAGAAGGCCUUCGGGUUGUAAAGCCCUUUUGUUGGGAAAGAAAAGCAGCAGGUUAAUACCCAGCUGUUCUGACGGUACCCAAAUAAUAAGCAACGGCUAACUUCGUG
RNAcentral lists this ribosomal RNA (492 nucleotides) under uncultured bacterium. RNAcentral describes it as "partial 16S ribosomal RNA". It matches the Rfam family "Bacterial small subunit ribosomal RNA", at positions 29 to 507 of the family's 1533-position model. The record is from RNAcentral.